Molecule: ribosomal RNA, 279 nt
Filed under: uncultured bacterium
Lineage: Bacteria
Description: partial 16S ribosomal RNA
Rfam family: Bacterial small subunit ribosomal RNA
Source: RNAcentral
UGCCAGCCGCCGCGGUAACACGGGGGGCGCAAGCGUUAUUCGGAAUUAUUGGGCGUAAAGGGCGCGCAGGCGGUCUUGUCAGUCAGGUGUGAAAGCCCGGGGCUCAACCCCGGAAGUGCAUUGGAAACUGGCGAACUUGAGGACGGUAGGGGUGAGUGGAACUCCAGGUGGAGCGGUGAAAUGCGUAGAUAUCUGGAGGAACACCGGUGGCGAAAGCGGCUCACUGGACCGUAACUGACGCUGAGGUGCGAAAGCUAGGGUAGCAAACGGGAUUAGAUA